RNAcentral lists this ribosomal RNA (313 nucleotides) under uncultured Candidatus Saccharibacteria bacterium. Its description in RNAcentral is "bacterial SSU rRNA". It matches the Rfam family "Bacterial small subunit ribosomal RNA", at positions 28 to 351 of the family's 1533-position model. Lineage: Bacteria; Candidatus Saccharimonadota. The record is from RNAcentral.
GAUGAAUGCUGGCGGCGUGCCUAACACAUGCAAGUCGAGCGGUAACAGGGGUAAUUUAUUACCUGCUGACGAGCGGCGGACGGCUGAGUAACGCGUGGGAACAUACCCCAAAGUGAGGGAUAACCGCCCGAAAGGGUGGCUAAUACCGCAUAUGGUCUUCGGAUUAAAGGAUUUAUCCGCUUUGGGAAUGGCCUGCGUAUGAUUAGAUAGUUGGUGAGGUAAAGGCUCACCAAGUCUACGAUCAUUAACUGGUCUGAGAGGAUGAUCAGUCAGACUGGAACUGAGACACGGUCCAGACUCCUACGGGUGGCAG